CGGAGAGGGAGCAUGAGAAACGGCUACCACUUCUAAGGAAGGCAGCAGGCGCGCAAAUUACCCAAUCCUGACUCAGGGAGGUAGUGACAAGAAAUAACAAUAAACCGGCUUAUGCCGGUUUAAUUGGAAUGAGUACAAUUUAAACAUCUUAACGAGGAACAAUUGGAGGGCAAGUCUGGUGCCAGCAGCCGCGGUAAUUCCAGCUCCAAUAGCGUAUACUAAAGUUGUUGCAGUUAAAAAGCUCGUAGUUGGAUUUCUGCGGGGACGGAGCGGCCGGUCGCAACUUGCGACUCGAGCUAGCGCUUUCCCCGCAUCCUGCCGCGAACCGUGCUACCAUUAGCUUGGUGGCGCUGGGGAUCGGCUCGAUUACUUUGAGAAAAAUAGAGUGUUCAAAGCAGGCCACACGCCUUGAAUAAGUUAGCAUGGAAUAAUGACUAAGGACUUCGGUUCUAUUUUGUUGGUGUUCGGGACUGAAGUAAUGAUUGAUAGGGACAGUUGGGGCGGUCUGUAUUCCAAAGCGAGAGGUGAAAUUCUUAGACCUUCGGAAGACAAACAGCUGCGAAAGCGUUCCGCAAGGAUGUUCCCUUUGAUCAAGAACGAAAGUUGGGGGAUCGAAGACGAUCAGAUACCGUCGUAGUCUCAACUAUAAACUAUACCAGCUAGGGAUCGGUCAACGUUUAAUCAUUCGACUUGAUCGGCACCUUAUGAGAAAUCAAAGCAUCUGGGUUCCGGGGGGAGUAUGGUCGCAAGGCUGAAACUUAAAGGAAUUGACGGAAGGGCACCACCAGCCGUGGAGCCUGUGGCUUAAUUUGACUCAACACGGGAAAACUUACCAGGUCCAGACAUAGUAAGGAUUGACAGAUUGAUAGCUCUUUCUUGAUUCUGUGGUGGUGGUGCAUGGCCGUUCUUAGUUGGUGGAGUGAUUUGUCUGGUUAAUUCCGUUAACGAACGAGACCCCAGCCUGCUAAAUAGCGCGGCUGAGCUUUGCUCGGUGCGAGCUUCUUAGAGGGACUAUGAUGCGCGAUAGCACAUGGAAGUUUGGGGCAAUAACAGGUCUGUGAUGCCCUUAGAUGUUCUGGGCCGCACACGGGCUACACUGGCGCCUGCAACGAGCAUAUCAGCUGGCCCGAGAGGGUCUUGGCUAAUCUUUUGAACCGGCGCCGUGCUUGGGAUUGACCAUUGCAAUUGUUGGUCAUGCAACGAGGAAUGCCUUGUAAACGCGAGUCAUCAGCUCGCAUUGAAUACGUCCCUGCCCUUUGUACACACCGCCCGUCGCUCCUACCGAUGAAUGUUCCGAUGAAAUUUUCGGAGAGCGCCAGAGAACGGGGCUCCGCCUUGCAGAUCUGGAGGCUCAAAGUCACUUAAAUCUGAACAUUUCGAGGAAGGAGAAGUCGUAACAAGGUAACC
Molecule: ribosomal RNA, 1407 nt
Filed under: uncultured Rhizaria
Lineage: Eukaryota
Description: SSU rRNA
Rfam family: Eukaryotic small subunit ribosomal RNA
Source: RNAcentral